RNAcentral lists this ribosomal RNA (301 nucleotides) under uncultured bacterium. Its description in RNAcentral is "partial 16S ribosomal RNA". It matches the Rfam family "Archaeal small subunit ribosomal RNA", at positions 459 to 760 of the family's 1478-position model. The record is from RNAcentral.
CAGCAGCCGCGGGAAAACCAGCACCUCGAGUGGUCAGGAGGUUUAUUGGGCCUAAAGCAUCCGUAGCCGGUUGCAUAAGUUUUCGGUUAAAUCUAUGCGCUUAUCGUAUAGGCCGCCGAAAAUACUGUGCAGCUAGGGAGUGGGAGAGGUACACGGUACUCGAUAGGAAGGGGUAAAAUCCUUUGAUCUAUUGAUGACCACCUGUGGCGAAGGCGGUGUACCAGAACACGUUCGACGGUGAGGGAUGAAAGCUGGGGGAGCAAACCGGAUUAGAUACCCCCGUAGUCCCUGUCUCUUAUAA